GAUGUCGAGCGUUGACUGAUCGUAGUGUUGCGUUGACUUUAGAGUUUGGGAGUAGAUGGAGAAAGUGUAGAGUGAUCCACUGGUGCAUUGGAUCCAUAUGCUUGCUACUGUUGAUACCCACUUGGAUUUGGUUGAUGUUCUCUCCAAUUUGGUGACGUGGUUAUAGAUUUGGAUGGCAUCGACUCAUAGAUCUCACAUAAUUCCUCUUGAAGUUGAACGAUGAAUCAAGAUCACAGAUCGGACGACUAAGAUAGGAAGGGUAAUUGGAUGGGCUCCACAAGCCCAAAUAUUAGCCCAUCCAGCCACAGGAGGCUUCGUUUCGCAUUGUGGAUGGAAUUCCACACUGUAGAGUAUAUAUUUUGGUGUGCCAAUUGCCACGUGGCCGUUGUCUGCUGAACAACAAACAAAUGCUUUUGAAUUGGUGGGUGAGUUGAAGAUGGUGUGGAGAUUGCAUUGGAUUAUAGGGUGGAGCUUAAUGGUGGGGCUAACUAUAAGAUUGAGAGAGGAAUAAGGAGUGUGUUGGAAAAUAGAGAGGUAAGGAAGAAAGUGAAAGAGAUAAGUGAAUAGAGUUAGGAAGACUUUAUUAGAAGAUGGAUCUUCCUACACUUAUUUAGGUUGCUUGAUUGAUUUGAUUAUAGUAUGAAUCGAGGAUGAUAUUAGAUUAGGCAUCGUAGUAUCCUCGUUAAAAAAUGUUGCAGAGUAUCAGUUUAAUUUUCAACGCAAAUCAAUCAAAUGAUAUAUAGUUAUUAUAGCUA
Cicer arietinum (chickpea) is the source of this 755-nucleotide long non-coding RNA. RefSeq lists it as uncharacterized. The record is from RefSeq and is a predicted model, not a curated record. Lineage: Eukaryota; Viridiplantae; Streptophyta; Magnoliopsida; Fabales; Fabaceae.